CGGUGUUUAACUGGCGUGAUGUGGGACGUCCUACCGGUGGGCUUAGCCUCGCGAGGGGCGGCCCAACUAAUAUCCCGUCGCGGUGCUCUUUACUGAGUGUCGAGUCGGGCCGGUACGUUUACUUUGAACAAAUUAGAGUGCUUAAAGCAGGCUAUCCUCGCCUGAAUACUGCGUGCAUGGAAUAAUGGAAUAGAACCUCGGUUCUAUUUUGUUGGUUUUCGGAACCCCGAGGUAAUGAUUAAUAGGGACAGAUGGGGGCAUUCGUAUUGCGACGUUAGAGGUGAAAUUCUUGGAUCGUCGCAAGACGGACAGAAGCGAAAGCAUUUGCCAAAAAUGUUUUCAUUAAUCAAGAACGAAAGUUAGAGGUUCGAAGGCGAUCAGAUACCGCCCUAGUUCUAACCAUAAAUGAUGCCAGCUAGCGAUCCGCCGAAGUUCCUCCGAUGACUCGGCGGGCAGCUUCCGGGAAACCAAAGCUUUUGGGUUCCGGGGGAAGUAUGGUUGCAAAGCUGAAACUUAAAGGAAUUGACGGAAGGGCACCACCAGGAGUGGAGCCUGCGGCUUAAUUUGACUCAACACGGGAAACCUCACCAGGCCCAGACACCGGAAGGAUUGACAGAUUGAUAGCUCUUUCUUGAUUCGGUGGGUGGUGGUGCAUGGCCGUUCUUAGUUGGUGGAGCGAUUUGUCUGGUUAAUUCCGAUAACGAACGAGACUCUAGCCUGCUAAAUAGGCGUACCUUAUGGUAUCGCGAAGGCCCCCGGCUUCGGCCGGUGGGUUUUUACUACCAACGUACAAACAAAUCUUCUUAGAGGGACAGGCGG
RNAcentral lists this ribosomal RNA (819 nucleotides) under uncultured eukaryote. Its description in RNAcentral is "SSU rRNA". It matches the Rfam family "Eukaryotic small subunit ribosomal RNA", at positions 629 to 1426 of the family's 1831-position model. The record is from RNAcentral.